RNAcentral lists this ribosomal RNA (491 nucleotides) under uncultured bacterium. RNAcentral's name for it is "bacterial SSU rRNA". It matches the Rfam family "Bacterial small subunit ribosomal RNA", at positions 791 to 1286 of the family's 1533-position model. The record is from RNAcentral.
UAGUCCACGCCGUAAACGAUGAUAACUCGUUGGUGGCGAUAUACAGUCACUGACCAAGCGAAAGUAUUAAGUUAUCCACCUGGGGAGUACGCCGGCAACGGUGAAACUCAAAGGAAUUGACGGGGGCCCGCACAAGCGGUGGAGCAUGUGGUUUAAUUCGAUGAUACGCGAGGAACCUUACCUGGGCUUAAAUGUAUAAUGACCGAUCUGGAAACAGAUCUUCCCUUCGGGGCAGAAUACAAGGUGCUGCAUGGCUGUCGUCAGCUCGUGCUGUGAGGUGUCGGGUUAAGUCCCAUAACGAGCGCAACCCCUAUCUUUAGUUGCUAGCAGGUCAAGCUGAGGACUCUAAAGAGACUGCCGGUGCAAACCGUGAGGAAGGUGGGGAUGACGUCAAGUCAGCACGGCCCUUACGUCCAGGGCCACACACGUGCUACAAUGGCAGACACAAAGGGCAGCUACAUGGUGACAUGAUGCUAAUCUCUAAAGUCUGU